CUUGGAGGUUGACUGGUCUAAACUCCCAUAGAAUUUCUGAAUCUGCUAAUAUCAUUUGUAUUUUGUUGAUGGAAAUGUGGAUUUGGGGAUAUGCAGCUGGAAGGGUUGGUUCUAUCCAGAAAGUUGCAGAUAGGCUUCGUUGUUACACUUGGUCAUGACUUCUUCAUCUCACUUCAAAAUUGCA
Medicago truncatula (barrel medic) is the source of this 184-nucleotide long non-coding RNA. RefSeq lists it as uncharacterized. NCBI's taxonomy places the organism in Eukaryota, Viridiplantae, Streptophyta, Magnoliopsida, Fabales, Fabaceae. The record is from RefSeq and is a predicted model, not a curated record. The transcript has 3 exons.